Molecule: ribosomal RNA, 309 nt
Filed under: uncultured bacterium
Lineage: Bacteria
Description: partial 16S ribosomal RNA
Rfam family: Bacterial small subunit ribosomal RNA
Source: RNAcentral
AGAGACAGCAGCCGCCGCGGUAAUACGAAGGGGGCUAGCGUUGCUCGGAAUGACUGGGCGUAAAGGGCGCGUAGGCGGAUUGUUUAGUUAGGCGUGAAAUUCCUGGGCUUAACCUGGGGACUGCGCUUAAUACAGGCAGUCUAGAGUGAGGAAGAGGGUUGUGGAAUUCCCAGUGUAGAGGUGAAAUUCGUAGAUAUUGGGAAGAACACCGGUGGCGAAGGCGGCAACCUGGUCCUUGACUGACGCUGAGGCGCGAGAGCGUGGGGAGCAAACAGGAUUAGAUACCCCGGUAGUCCCUGUCUCUUAUAC